RNAcentral lists this ribosomal RNA (450 nucleotides) under uncultured bacterium. RNAcentral's name for it is "partial 16S ribosomal RNA". It matches the Rfam family "Bacterial small subunit ribosomal RNA", at positions 354 to 796 of the family's 1533-position model. The record is from RNAcentral.
GUGGGGAAUCUUCCGCAAUGGACGAAAGUCUGACGGAGCAACGCCGCGUGAGUGAUGAAGGUCUUCGGAUUGUAAAGCUCUGUUAAUCGGGACGAAAGAGCCUAGUGUGAAUAAUGCUAGGAAGUGACGGUACCGGAAUAGAAAGCCACGGCUAACUACGUGCCAGCAGCCGCGGUAAUACGUAGGUGGCAAGCGUUGUCCGGAAUUAUUGGGCGUAAAGCGCGCGCAGGCGGAGCUGCCAGUCUGUCUUAAAAGUUCGGGGCUUAACCCCGUGAUGGGAUGGAAACUACAGAUCUAGAGUAUCGGAGAGGAAAGUGGAAUUCCUAGUGUAGCGGUGAAAUGCGUAGAUAUUAGGAAGAACACCAGUGGCGAAGGCGACUUUCUGGACGAAAACUGACGCUGAGGCGCGAAAGCCAGGGGAGCGAACGGGAUUAGAUACCCGAGUAGUCC